This 765-nucleotide ribosomal RNA is filed under the name Triticum aestivum (bread wheat). RNAcentral describes it as "partial small subunit ribosomal RNA". Lineage: Eukaryota; Viridiplantae; Streptophyta; Magnoliopsida; Poales; Poaceae. The record is from RNAcentral.
CAAACCAUGUCGUCCUCCUCCGGUGCCUCCCAGGCUGGUCCCAACGGCCAAGUCACGGAGAGGCUCUCCCGCACCAACUACGUCCUCUGCCGCGCGCAGAUCACGCCGCAGCCGAGGGGCGCGGGUGUCUUCAGCUACGUCGACGGCACUACACCGGAGGCGGCCAGGAUCCUCCCCACCAAGGAUAAAGAUGGGAAGAAAUCGACUGAGCCGAACCCUCUCUACCCCAUCUGGGUGCGAGAGGACCAACAGGUGCUCGGGUACUUGUUGAACAACCUCACCAAGGAGGUGCUCGUGCAGGUGACUGCGAUCACCAUGGCACGCGAGCUCUGGACGACGUUGUCGGGGAUGUUCUCCUCGCAGUCGCUUAGUCGCGUCAACAACAUCAGAACCUCCAUGGUGAAUGCCCAGAAGGGCAACAAGACCGUCGCCACCUACUUCGCUGAGAUGCGCGGCUUCGCCGAUGAGCUGGCCGCCGCCAGGAAGCCUCUCCAGGACGAUGAACUCAUCUCCUACAUCCUGCAAGGCCUCGACAUGGACUACCAGCCACUCGUCUCCGCCCUCGACGCCUGCAUCACCCCGGUAUCCCUCGAUGAGCUUUUUGCAAUGCUUAGUAACUUUGAUCAGAGGGUGGCGCAGUACCAGGGAUCGGGCGGCUUCAAGUCGUUGGCUAACGCCGCGACGCGUGGGGGCGGCGUCUACUCACGUCAUCGUGGCCAUCCCCGCUCCAAGGGCAAGCAGGGGAGUGACGGCAGCAACGGCAGG